This is a non-coding RNA of Podarcis muralis (Common wall lizard), 1788 nucleotides long. NCBI's taxonomy places the organism in Eukaryota, Metazoa, Chordata, Lepidosauria, Squamata, Lacertidae. The record is from RefSeq and is a predicted model, not a curated record.
GUCACACCCCAGCCAGACCAGGCCAGGCCAAAGCUCCUCAAAGGGGCUGUGUGCUCUGGGAAGAGUUCUGAAAGUCAGGUGGGCGUGGGGGGGGGCUGCAUGUGGCCCCCUGGCCUGAGGUUCCCCACUCCUGGGUUAGAUCACCCAGACAAAACUAGUUGGACUUAAGCCCCAAUUUGUUGUGAAAAGUUAGUCACGGCCAAUUUAUUCUUUCCCAUUGAUUUCUCCAGGACUCUGAACCAACCUGUGGCCUGUAACCUGGCUAUGAUGGGAAGUUGUGCAAGUCAUAGGAAAGCAGUUCUUAUGCCACCAGUUUAAAGCUGCGAGGGAAGGAUAAAACGUGGUUGUCUGGCUACUGCGGAAACAGGAGGCUGAUGUCCUUUGGAAAAUAGUUCACCAUUGCUUUUUUGCUGCUGCAACCCACCAAGCACUCCUCCUGCAAGGAACAGGAUACAGAGAGUAACACAAGAACAAAGCCCCUCGCCUCCCUUCCCUUCUCAGACUACAAAGUUCAAGCAAUUACAUCUCACCACAGCUGUCCAGCAGAGUUUGUCCAUUGUUACUCAGGUACAAAGUAAAACUACACCAAGUUUCAGUAAAGUCAUCAUCUUCUUGAUAUAAUGAACAACAAUAAUAACAACAAUUAAUUCUUUUUAGAAGAAGCAGUUACACUUAAAAGCUUUUGAAACCCUCCUUUUAAGGUAUGAUUAGAUAAAAUGCACUGCCUGUUGGAGUGAGCUAACUCUCCUUGCUCUCAGCUUAGUUUUGGCGUACCUGUCAGGGGUUCCUGUCCUUCAUAUGCAUCAUGUAAAUGAACUAGACCUGUCUCUUCCAUCUUUGGAAAUUUUGAGUUAUGCCCAGAUUAAUAAUAAAUGGGGAUAUUUUAAAUGAAUCAGAGGGGGCAUUGUGGGACAAAACAGUGCCCAUGGCAAUCCAUAGCAUAAAAGUCAUGUGCCCAAAGACCACUCUCCCAGUUCUACUCUCCAGACAUAUCCUGAACAGGUUGGGAGCACAGUGUCAGCAAUAGCUAUUGCACAGAGUCAGUCCAGAGAGACACCAUGCUUAAUGGCAUCAAAAGACACUGCGAUAUUGACCAGGAUUGCCCUCCCACUGCCUUCUCAUUAGGGUGACCAAGGCUGAUUUGGUCCUGAAGCCCAGAACUGAAAUGGAUUCAGAUAAUCAGCCUCAUCCCGGAAUGUCUGCAGUUGUUCUGACACAACUCUCUAAAUCCCCCUUCCCCAAAAGUGGGUACAGUCAUACCUCAGGUUACAGACGCUUUGGGUUGUGCGGUUUUGGGUUGCGCACCGCGCCAAACCUGGAAGUACCGGAACGGGUUACCAGAAUCGCGACCCGGCGCUUUGGGUUGUGGAUGCUGCAGGUUCGCAACCCGAGCAUCCACUGUAUUUGCAACCAGGUGAUAGCUGUUAUAAUCCAUUAGGCCCUGGACCAGCUUUUCCCAGGAGUGGCUGCACCACUGCCUCCUUUAGGGUUGCAGACGCCACCUUCUCAUGCUAUGAAAUGCUCACCACACCCUGCACCCACCCGGCCAACACUUCCCCAGGGGAGACACUUCACUGCCUGAGGCAAAAUGGGAAGGCAUCCCCCUCUACUUCUCCUCCGCUGAAGGCUUGCUUGCCUGGGUCACACAGCUAUGGCUUCCAGGUUCCAGUGAAAACUCACAGAAAGCAGGAGUGAGAAGUGGCGGCAAGGUGGUGCAUGAGUUCUGUGGGAUGUGAAACACAAGAGCAGUCAAGUACAACAUCCCUAGAGUGGACAUAAAAAGGGGAU